Molecule: long non-coding RNA, 1150 nt
Filed under: Homo sapiens (human)
Lineage: Eukaryota; Metazoa; Chordata; Mammalia; Primates; Hominidae
Description: non-protein coding lnc-ODC1-2:6
Source: RNAcentral
AGCCCCGCACCCCCAGCCCCAGCCCCGCGUGCAGCUCGCACCCCUUCCCACGCCUGUUCGGGGGAGAGCCCCGGGCCUGGAGUGGGAAGCCUGGCUCCAGCUCUGGUUACCUGCAGUGACUCCCCAGGCCGUUUAGGCGAGUCCAUUGGGCCGCCUCUGCCUCGGUUUCCCCACCUAACCACGGAAGGUGCUCCUCCCUUCCAGGCAUCUGUGGUCUUCGAGCUCCACGCGGGAGAGGCGCCGGUCUGGCACCUCCUGCCCAGGGUCGGCGCCUCCUGGCUCUCGGGGAGGGGGGCAUCCUCCAUCCCCUGCACCUGCCUCGAGAGGAACCAGGGACAGAGCACCCCCACCCCCACCAGGAGCUCCGGAAAAACGGCUUCAGAAGAGCAAAUAUACACACACACCCACCUCCCGCCCCAAACAUCCCCGAAGAAAGGUAACCACAGAAACAGCCAGAAAUGUGGAGCUGGGCGAUCGUAUGAGGCUGAGACAAAACUGUCUUUCUAGCGUCUCUAGGGGAGAGCUUGAAUCCCUCCUUCCACUCCUCCUCCACGGAAAACAGAGUGAACUCCUGCUACAGAGGCCGCCAGAGCAACAUGCAAGACCAGCUUUGAGGGGAGCGGGCACAGGGCCUUGCAGGGAAGGUGGGCCGAGCCCAGACCCCUCAUUCUUACUUGGCUCUGAAGGCGGAAAGGCAAAGCUAGACCUCGAGGAAGUUCCCCUCCCUGUGGGCCCUACAGUGAAGAUUACAUGAAGGCAUGUGGGCGGUGGACCAGAGUGCACCGACUGAUGAAGGCGGCCCGGUACCCGCGGGUGCCAUGCCUCCUUCUUAGCCAAGGCCACUCUAGCUCCCCGUGAAGUAUCCAGGUAGAAGGCUGGUGGGGUUACAGGUGAGAAGCCGUCGGUGGGGUCCAGGAGCCAGGCCUGGGGAAGCACACGUCACUUCCACCCACAUCCAUGGGCCAGAAGUAGUCGCACAGUCCCACCAGGAUGCAAGGGGCUCUGGCAGCUGUGGUCUUCAUGAGUGUUUCGGAAGUAAACAAAGCCGGUUUGAUGAACACGUAGAAACAUCCCUGCCACAGAAACUGAGCAGAUUUCUCCCAAGCACACACAGGGCAAAGGGGCAAAGUCUGUCCACAGACUCACAGGA